AGCGGCGGACGGGUGAGUAACGCGUGGGUAACCUGCCUUGUACACACGGAUAACAUACCGAAAGGUAUGCUAAUACGAGAUAAUAUGCUUUUAUCGCAUGGUAGAAGUAUCAAAGCUCCGGCGGUACAGGAUGGGCCCGCGUCUGAUUAGCUAGUUGGUAAGGUAACGGCUUACCAAGGCGACGAUCAGUAGCCGACCUGAGAGGGUGAUCGGCCACAUUGGAACUGAGACACGGUCCAAACUCCUACGGGAGGCAGCAGUGGGGAAUAUUGCACAAUGGGCGAAAGCCUGAUGCAGCAACGCCGCGUGAGCGAUGAAGGCCUUCGGGUCGUAAAGCUCUGUCCUCAAGGAAGAUAAUGACGGUACUUGAGGAGGAAGCCCCGGCUAACUACGUGCCAGCAGCCGCGGUAAUACGUAGGGGGCUAGCGUUAUCCGGAAUUACUGGGCGUAAAGGGUGCGUAGGUGGUUUCUUAAGUCAGAGGUGAAAGGCUACGGCUCAACCGUAGUAAGCCUUUGAAACUGGGAAACUUGAGUGCAGGAGAGGAGAGUGGAAUUCCUAGUGUAGCGGUGAAAUGCGUAGAUAUUAGGAGGAACACCAGUUGCGAAGGCGGCUCUCUGGACUGUAACUGACACUGAGGCACGAAAGCGUGGGGAGCAAACAGGAUUAGAUACCCUGGUAGUCCACGCCGUAAACGAUGAGUACUAGCUGU
RNAcentral lists this ribosomal RNA (710 nucleotides) under uncultured bacterium. RNAcentral describes it as "bacterial SSU rRNA". It matches the Rfam family "Bacterial small subunit ribosomal RNA", at positions 94 to 823 of the family's 1533-position model. The record is from RNAcentral.